AGGAUUGUGACCCAGCGACAGUGAAGGAACGGCGAAGUAUUUCCAAGUCAGGAUGUGCCAGCUGAGAAGUUCUGCUGCAGCGCCGAAGGAGUUAACUGCAUCUGUUCUGUUGCAGUAGGAGUGACAGCUCCCAGCAGCGCUGCCUGCCUCCUGUGAAUGGAAGACCACAAAUAUGGAAGCCCUAACCUUGGGGUCACGCACACAGAGCCACAACAGCUUGUUCGACAUUUCUGUUUACAGAUAUCUCAUCCCCUGCCCAGCAGCCCUCUAGCAGACCUUCCCCUGCCAUUGGCUACCAGCUAAUCCCUUUCGCAAAUCGGAGGGGGGGCAUCAGCUCUGCAGCAUCCAAUGAAAGAAGGGCCUGGCUCAGAGGGAUUAGAUUCUGCAAUCAGUGGGUGCGAACAAUUUCAAAUAGGUUUAACAAGAGAUUACCAGCGUGGAAUUCAACCUUGCUCAAUCGGUACACUUUCCUAUAAAUGAUGAUUGCUCCUCCCCUGUAUGGAAGUAAGUAAAAGGUUUGGAUUUGA
Molecule: long non-coding RNA, 527 nt
Organism: Carcharodon carcharias (great white shark)
Lineage: Eukaryota; Metazoa; Chordata; Chondrichthyes; Lamniformes; Lamnidae
Exons: 2
Source: RefSeq, a predicted model, not a curated record